UAAAAUCAAUCUUUCUACCUAUAUCUUCAAUCAUCUAUGUGAAGCUAUCAAGGAGAGCAUGAAGCAUCACAAGAAGAAUGUGCCAUAUGUUAGACUCUUGUCUAAACUGCUUUAUCAUGUUCGUCUUAUUUGAUGCCCUUAAAACUAUUUCUGGUGAUGAGGAUCUCGAGGAGAUCCACGGAAACAUUAUGUCUGCUUCCGUUCUAACCAACAUGAAGCUUCUGAAGAAGAGUGAAGUUGUUACUUCUAAAGUGCC
RNAcentral lists this long non-coding RNA (256 nucleotides) under Lathyrus oleraceus (garden pea). RNAcentral describes it as "Pisum sativum (pea) long non-coding RNA (PSAT_LNC005398)". Lineage: Eukaryota; Viridiplantae; Streptophyta; Magnoliopsida; Fabales; Fabaceae. The record is from RNAcentral.